RNAcentral lists this ribosomal RNA (279 nucleotides) under uncultured bacterium. RNAcentral's name for it is "partial 16S ribosomal RNA". It matches the Rfam family "Bacterial small subunit ribosomal RNA", at positions 506 to 784 of the family's 1533-position model. The record is from RNAcentral.
UGCCAGCAGCCGCGGUAAUACGAAGGGUGCUAGCGUUGUUCGGAAUUACUGGGCGUAAAGAGCAUGUAGGCGGAUGAAUUAGUCAGAGGUGAAAGCCCCGAGCUCAACUUGGGAACUGCCUUUGAUACUGAUGAUCUUGAAUAUUGUUGAAGUUGGCGGAAUAGGUCAUGUAGCGGUGAAAUGCUUAGAUAUGACCUAGAACACCGAUUGCGAAGGCAGCCAACUAAGCAGUUAUUGACGCUGAGGGACGAAAGCGUGGGGAGCGAACAGGAUUAGAUA